RNAcentral lists this unclassified non-coding RNA (377 nucleotides) under plant metagenome. Its description in RNAcentral is "partial contains 5.8S ribosomal RNA, internal transcribed spacer 2, and large subunit ribosomal RNA". The stretch from base 1 to 104 matches the Rfam family "5.8S ribosomal RNA", at positions 51 to 154 of the family's 154-position model. The record is from RNAcentral.
AAAUGCGAUAAGUAAUGUGAAUUGCAGAAUUCAGUGAAUCAUCGAAUCUUUGAACGCACAUUGCGCCCGCCAGUAUUCUGGCGGGCAUGCCUGUUUGAGUAUCAUGAAAUCUUCAAAGUAAAUCUUUUGUUAACUCAAUUGGUUUCUACUUUGGUAUUGGAGGUCUUUGCAGCUUCACACCUGCUCCUCUUUGUUCAUUAGCUGGAUCUCAGUGUUAUGCUUGGUUCCACUCGGCGUGAUAAGUUAUCUAUCGCUGAGGACACUGUAAAAGGUGGCCAAGGUAAAUGCAGAUGAACCGCUUCUAAUAGUCCAUUGACUUGGACAAUACUUUUAUGAUCUGAUCUCAAAUCAGGUAGGACUACCCGCUGAACUUAAGC